AUUGAACGCUGGCGGCAGGCCUAACACAUGCAAGUCGAGCGGAUGAAGGGAGCUUGCUCCUGGAUUCAGCGGCCGACGGGUGAGUAAUGCCUAGGAAUCUGCCUGGUAGUGGGGGAUAACGUCCGGAAACGGGCGCUAAUACCGCAUACGUCCUGAGGGAGAAAGUGGGGGAUCUUCGGACCUCACGCUAUCAGAUGAGCCUAGGUCGGAUUAGCUAGUUGGUGGGGUAAAGGCCUACCAAGGCGACGAUCCGUAACUGGUCUGAGAGGAUGAUCAGUCACACUGGAACUGAGACACGGUCCAGACUCCUACGGGAGGCAGCAGUGGGGAAUAUUGGACAAUGGGCGAAAGCCUGAUCCAGCCAUGCCGCGUGUGUGAAGAAGGUCUUCGGAUUGUAAAGCACUUUAAGUUGGGAGGAAGGGCAGUAAGUUAAUACCUUGCUGUUUUGACGUUACCAACAGAAUAAGCACCGGCUAACUUCGUG
RNAcentral lists this ribosomal RNA (484 nucleotides) under uncultured bacterium. RNAcentral's name for it is "partial 16S ribosomal RNA". It matches the Rfam family "Bacterial small subunit ribosomal RNA", at positions 30 to 507 of the family's 1533-position model. The record is from RNAcentral.